Molecule: ribosomal RNA, 459 nt
Filed under: uncultured bacterium
Lineage: Bacteria
Description: partial 16S ribosomal RNA
Rfam family: Bacterial small subunit ribosomal RNA
Source: RNAcentral
CCUACGGGUGGCAGCAGUGAGGAAUAUUGGUCAAUGGGAGAGAUCCUGAACCAGCCAAGCCGCGUGAGGGAAGACGGCCCUAUGGGUUGUAAACCUCUUUUGUCGGAGAACAAAACCCGGGACGUGUCCCGGACUGCGUGUAUCCGAAGAAAAAGCAUCGGCAAACUCCGUGCCAGCAGCCGCGGUAAUACGGAUGAUGCGAGCGUUAUCCGGACUUAUUGGGGUUAAGGGUGGCGUAGGCGGUCCGUUAAGUCAGCGGUAAAAUUGGGGGGCUCAACCCCGUCGAGCCGUUGAAACUGGCAGACUGGAGUGGGCGAGAGGUACGCGGAAUGCGCGGUGUAGCGGUGAAAUGCAUAGAUAUCGCGCAGAACUCCGGUUGCGAAGGCAGCGUACCGGCGCCAGACUGACGCUGAGGCACGAAAGCGUGGGGAGCGAACAGGAUUAGAUACCCUAGUAGUC